GAGGUUAUAGCUCCAAGUGGUAGAGUGCAUGCUUAGCAUGCAUGAGGUCCUGGGUUCAAUCCCCAGCACCUCC
Molecule: transfer RNA, 73 nt
Filed under: Camelus bactrianus (Bactrian camel)
Lineage: Eukaryota; Metazoa; Chordata; Mammalia; Artiodactyla; Camelidae
Also listed under: 2 other names
Rfam family: tRNA
About the family: Transfer RNA (tRNA) molecules are approximately 80 nucleotides in length. Their secondary structure includes four short double-helical elements and three loops (D, anti-codon, and T loops).
Source: Rfam by way of RNAcentral